GUGCCAGCAGCCGCGGUAAUACGGAGGGUGCAAGCGUUGUCCGGAUUUAUUGGGUUUAAAGGGUGCGUAGGCGGCUAUUUAAGUCAGUGGUGAAAGACUCCGGCUCAACCGGAGCAGUGCCAUUGAUACUGGAUAGCUUGAGUAUUGGAGGGGUACAUGGAAUUGAUGGUGUAGCGGUGAAAUGCAUAGAUACCAUCAGGAACACCGAUAGCGAAGGCAUUGUACUGGCCAAUAACUGACGCUGAUGCACGAAAGCAUGGGUAGCGAACAGGAUUAGAUACCCUGGUAGUCCAUGCCGUAAACGAUGAUUACUCGCUGUUAUGCUCUUGUAGUGUAGCGGCCAAGCGAAAGCGUUAAGUAAUCCACCUGGGGAGUACGCUCGCAAGAGUGAAACUCAAAGGAAUUGACGG
RNAcentral lists this ribosomal RNA (410 nucleotides) under Algoriphagus sp. RNAcentral's name for it is "bacterial SSU rRNA". It matches the Rfam family "Bacterial small subunit ribosomal RNA", at positions 505 to 916 of the family's 1533-position model. The record is from RNAcentral. Lineage: Bacteria; Pseudomonadati; Bacteroidota; Cytophagia; Cytophagales; Cyclobacteriaceae.